RNAcentral lists this transfer RNA (67 nucleotides) under Paracanthobdella livanowi. Its description in RNAcentral is "tRNA-Phe". Lineage: Eukaryota; Metazoa; Annelida; Clitellata; Acanthobdellida. The record is from RNAcentral.
GCUAAGAUAGAUUAAAUUCAAAUCAUACCACUGAAGAUGGUAGAAUAGUAACGCUGCUUCUUAACAA